RNAcentral lists this long non-coding RNA (657 nucleotides) under Anas platyrhynchos platyrhynchos (common mallard). RNAcentral describes it as "lncRNA (ENSAPLG00000017020.1)". Lineage: Eukaryota; Metazoa; Chordata; Aves; Anseriformes; Anatidae. The record is from RNAcentral.
AUAUAAUCAUAUUAAUUACAUUUUAAAACUUUUAAUUCUACUUUUAUAUUUUUUUUUUUAUUGACUGAAUUGGGGAUUGGACACAUACAAGGCCAUGGAAUAGUGUGGUGCUGAGCUGUGUCCCUGAAGAUGAGCUGUGCCCCUUUUUCCUACAGAAAUCACCAGGAACCAAUGAAUGAGCCCCAAAACAGCUGCCCCAGUGACUUUGGCAAAGAGGGAGGCUUUUGGCUCUGCAUUUAUAUUUGCAAUACCAGUCCAGUUCUUCAUCACUAAGGGGGCACAGGAUAAUGCUGCUAUCAGCUUCCUUACUUCAUCUCCAGUUCAUGCAACAGCUGCAUCUUUGAAAAGUGUCUGUAACAAAUGAUGUAGACACCUCAAAGAAAAGACGCUUCAUAAUGGUCUGUAGAGACCCUACAGAUUUUCUACAACCCAUGAUGUACAGAGGGCUGUCUGUUACCCAGUCCUGGGGCACAGCAUCAAGAAACACAGCAGUACUAUCAAUGUGAAAUUUCACCUAGUAGGAUUCUUAAGAAUUUCUCCUAGAAGACUUCAUGGGCACGUCUGUGCUCUGCAGCAAGGCAUGAAGCCUUGCGGACAGCAACAUCUUCUUCUUGUCUUGAUGGCAGGCCGUCAAAGGCCUGUACCAGGAACACAAGC